Molecule: long non-coding RNA, 378 nt
Organism: Lynx canadensis (Canada lynx)
Lineage: Eukaryota; Metazoa; Chordata; Mammalia; Carnivora; Felidae
Exons: 2
Source: RefSeq, a predicted model, not a curated record
AUCUGGAGUUCAGGGGGCACCAGCGAGCACAGUCUGUGGGGAUGGUGACCACAGUUGGAAGGUGAGGAAACAGGUCCAGAGAGUCCAGAGUCCCACGGGAGCUGGAGAGGCCCGAAGGGGCCCUUCAUGGGUGCUAGGCCGGCACCAAGAAGAGAAACGGCAGAGCCUUGGGGCCUCCAUGCUUCCAGAGCUGGCCUUUCUGGGCCAGCGCUUACCUUGGUGGGAAACUUGUAUUUCAGGGGCUUCUGGGCAGCAACAGAGAAUCACAAGAUAGAAGAGUUGUUUUCUUUCCUAAUAAGUCACAUGACUGGCUUGUCCCUUGAGGCGUCUAAUAAUUGUUUAAAAACGCUAUUAUUUAUAAAGUGCUUCUUCAUCUCA